This is a long non-coding RNA of Stomoxys calcitrans (stable fly), 451 nucleotides long. RefSeq lists it as uncharacterized. The record is from RefSeq and is a predicted model, not a curated record. The transcript has 2 exons. NCBI's taxonomy places the organism in Eukaryota, Metazoa, Arthropoda, Insecta, Diptera, Muscidae.
GUUCCAGACGCAUUACCCACAAAACUACCAAGGUGGCAGUUUUCAAUAGUCAUAAUAACCUUCCUCGUUGGAUUAGGUUCGGGCCCGGUAGCUUCUUGUGACAGCAAUGAAGACCACAUAGAUCCGACCUCAAUGUUGCAGCCAGUUUUUUGGGUAAAGCCUCUGGAGCUAAUUGGAAUUUUGAACAUUUUUAUAUGUAUUUUAGCUUGAGACUCAAACAUUAAUAAACUUCUUUCUUCUUGCUCUGAUUGCAAUUUGCCGAAAAUUUUUAAAUGCUAGGUUAAAUCGAAUUUUCUUCGCCCUGUUUACAAAUUUUGACAUCAAAUUCCCCAAAGAGAUGCUUUGUUGUAGCAAUUCGUUGAUGCGGCCACCUUAUUAAAUACGCCUUGGCCCUAACAUUUAAAAUUUUCGGCAAAUAUCCUUCGACCAAACAGAGCAAGGAGAAUCAUAA